This 96-nucleotide transfer RNA is filed under the name Chloroflexota bacterium. RNAcentral describes it as "Chloroflexi bacterium (anaerobic digester metagenome) tRNA-Sec". It matches the Rfam family "Selenocysteine transfer RNA". Lineage: Bacteria; Bacillati; Chloroflexota. The record is from RNAcentral.
GGGGGUGGACGAGUCCCGGUGGGCUCCGCGGUCUUCAAAAUCGUUGAGGGGUGCUGCAGAAGCGGCCUUGGUGGGUUCGACUCCCAUCCACUCCCG